Molecule: long non-coding RNA, 294 nt
Filed under: Daphnia magna
Lineage: Eukaryota; Metazoa; Arthropoda; Branchiopoda; Diplostraca; Daphniidae
Description: uncharacterized LOC123467615
Source: RNAcentral
UUAAACAACAACUUGAACAAAAAGUCAAUGAAAUAGUAGCAGAAGACUGGACAAUUGAUACCAUUAAAAAUUCCCACUACACCAAGUACAAAUUCACAAGUGAAUUAAUGUCUUCAAUAUUCACUAAUGAAUAUUUAAAAACGCACAAACGAUCUGGCAAAGGCGGAAAACCAGGAGCAAUCCAGCGGGAAAUCAUGAACCCGACAUACGUAGAAGAAAUAACAAAAUACCUGAUUCACGCCUGGCGCAAUUUAAAAGGAUCCACCCCUAAGAUCAGAGUUGAAACGAGCGCGC